CGGGAGGCAGCAGUGGGGAAUAUUGCACAAUGGGGGAAACCCUGAUGCAGCCAUGCCGCGUGUGUGAAGAAGGCCUUCGGGUUGUAAAGCACUUUCAGUAGGGAGGAAGGUAGUGUAGUUAACACCUGCAUUAUUUGACGUUACCUACAGAAGAAGCACCGGCUAACUCCGUGCCAGCAGCCGCGGUAAUACGGAGGGUGCGAGCGUUAAUCGGAAUUACUGGGCGUAAAGCGCAUGCAGGCGGCCUGUUAAGUCAGAUGUGAAAGCCCGGGGCUUAACCUCGGAAUUGCAUUUGAAACUGGCAGGCUAGAGUCUUGUAGAGGGGGUAGAAUUUCAGGUGUAGCGGUGAAAAUGCGUAGAGAUCUGAAGGAAUACCAGUGGCGAAGGCGGCCCCCUGGACAAAGACUGACGCUCAGAUGCGAAAGCGUGGGGAGCAAACAGGAUUAGAUACCCUGGUAG
This 459-nucleotide ribosomal RNA is filed under the name uncultured bacterium. RNAcentral's name for it is "bacterial SSU rRNA". It matches the Rfam family "Bacterial small subunit ribosomal RNA", at positions 342 to 793 of the family's 1533-position model. The record is from RNAcentral.